GUUGAUAGGUCAGAGGUGUAAGUGCGGCAACGUAUUUAGCUGACUGAUACUAAUAGGUCGAGGGCUUGACCAAUAUAA
Molecule: ribosomal RNA, 78 nt
Filed under: Clostridium saccharobutylicum
Lineage: Bacteria; Bacillati; Bacillota; Clostridia; Eubacteriales; Clostridiaceae
Description: partial 23S ribosomal RNA
Rfam family: Bacterial large subunit ribosomal RNA
Source: RNAcentral